Molecule: unclassified non-coding RNA, 329 nt
Filed under: soil metagenome
Description: partial contains 5.8S ribosomal RNA, internal transcribed spacer 2, and large subunit ribosomal RNA
Rfam family: 5.8S ribosomal RNA (bases 1-120)
Source: RNAcentral
GAUGAAGAACGCAGCGAAACGCGAUAAGUAAUGUGAAUUGCAGAAUUUAGUGAAUCAUCGAAUCUUUGAACGCACAUUGCGCCCGCCAGUAUUCUGACGGGCAUGCCUGUCCGAGCGUCAUUACAACCCUCAAGCUCAGCUUGGUGUUGGGCCCCGCCGCCCCGGCGGGCCCUAAAGUCAGUGGCGGUGCCGUCCGGCUCCGAGCGUAGUAAUUCUUCUCGCUCUGGAGGUCCGGUCGUGUGCUCGCCAGCAACCCCCAAUUUUUUUCAGGUUGACCUCGGAUCAGGUAGGGAUACCCGCUGAACUUAAGCAUAUCAAUAAGCGGAGGA